CUAUCGUUAGUGGCGGACGGGUGAGUAACGCGUGGGUAACCUGCCUUGCACUGGGGGAUAACACUUAGAAAUAGGUGCUAAUACCGCAUAACAGUAGGAGACGCAUGUCUUUUACUUGAAAAUUCCGGUGGUGUAAGAUGGACCCGCGUCUGAUUAGCUUGUUGGCAGGGUAACGGCCCACCAAGGCAACGAUCAGUAGCCGGCCUGAGAGGGUGAACGGCCACAUUGGGACUGAGACACGGCCCAAACUCCUACGGAAGGCAGCAG
This 267-nucleotide ribosomal RNA is filed under the name uncultured bacterium. RNAcentral describes it as "partial 16S ribosomal RNA". It matches the Rfam family "Bacterial small subunit ribosomal RNA", at positions 86 to 354 of the family's 1533-position model. The record is from RNAcentral.